This 322-nucleotide long non-coding RNA is filed under the name Homo sapiens (human). Its description in RNAcentral is "HSALNT0037371". Lineage: Eukaryota; Metazoa; Chordata; Mammalia; Primates; Hominidae. The record is from RNAcentral.
GCAUUCCUUGAUGUGUGUCCCUCUUCCUUUAUCUUCAAAACCAGCAGUAGGGGGUAGAGUGCUUCCAUGUUUAGAUCGAGUGCUUUCAUGUUUAGAAAAUGAUCUCUCCUUCUGCCUCAUCUCCCCCUGCUUUCUUCUUCCACCACAUUUCUCUCAAGACUCCUCUGCAUUUUUCUUCUGGUUUCACAGGCUCAUCUGGAUAAUCCAGGAUACUAUCCCAACUUUAAGGGUCCCUCCCAUGAAAUGUGAAGAUUAUGGGAACUACAAUUCAAGAUGAGAUUGGGUGGAGACACAGCCAAACCAUAUCAGUCAUGGUUCUUAU